AGUUCUGCAGUAAAUGUUUACGUUGGAUUGCAAAUCCAAAAAAUGGAGGUUGAUUUCUCCCGGGACUU
This 68-nucleotide transfer RNA is filed under the name Carcharias taurus (sand tiger shark). RNAcentral describes it as "tRNA-Cys". It matches the Rfam family "tRNA". From Rfam's summary of the family: Transfer RNA (tRNA) molecules are approximately 80 nucleotides in length. Their secondary structure includes four short double-helical elements and three loops (D, anti-codon, and T loops). Lineage: Eukaryota; Metazoa; Chordata; Chondrichthyes; Lamniformes; Carchariidae. The record is from RNAcentral.